RNAcentral lists this ribosomal RNA (253 nucleotides) under uncultured bacterium. RNAcentral's name for it is "partial 16S ribosomal RNA". It matches the Rfam family "Bacterial small subunit ribosomal RNA", at positions 524 to 776 of the family's 1533-position model. The record is from RNAcentral.
UACAGAGGUCUCAAGCGUUGUUCGGAUUCAUUGGGCGGAAAGGGUGCGUAGGUGGCGAGGCAAGUCAGAUGUGAAAUCCCGGGGCUCAACCCCGGAACUGCAUUUGAAACUGCCUUGCUCGAGUACUGGAGAGGAGACUGGAAUUUACGGUGUAGCAGUGAAAUGCGUAGAUAUCGUAAGGAAGACCAGUGGCGAAGGCGAGUCUCUGGACAGUUACUGACACUGAGGCACGAAGGCCAGGGGAGCAAACGGG